AAAAAAAAAAAAAAAAGAAAUAGUUAAUGAUAGCUAAAGCAGUAUUGGGAUGCAGACAAGAAUUUAGGGAUAGGUAUCCUUAUCAUUUAAUCUUAAAAUAUUGUUGAAGUCCUGAAAACAUUUUAGACAAUGGAAGAUGCUUUCAAGAGCAGGCCCAAUGUGUUGCCCAUACAUCAAACAGGUGAAGCUGAGAAGCAAAAGAUAUUAUGAAGUUUAUAUAUUGUCCCAUUAAUAAGUUCAUGGCCACACAACAUAUGUCUACUCUAGGUCAAAUAGAAUAUCUCAUUUCACAAUAAAGCUACCUUUAAGGAGUAAUAAUAAUAUAUCACUAACAAGAGUUGAAAGAAAAGGAAAUUAGUUGAUAUUUACUGAAAAAAGAGUUUCAGAUGUCUUAUCAUAUGGAUGCAACAACUUUGAACCAUCUUGAAGUGUAGCCUGAAGUGCAACCUCAUUCUGAAAAUCCAUAAACUACAUAGUUUCAAAAUCAAACUUAAAAAUUGCAUUGAAAGGGAUUCUCUUUUUCCCCUUUCCUUUCACUUUCCUCAUUUUAUUCCAGAAAAUCAAUGUUCUUUGAAACCAACCUCUGAAGGCUUUCCAAUAGA
This 602-nucleotide unclassified non-coding RNA is filed under the name Hevea brasiliensis (rubber tree). Lineage: Eukaryota; Viridiplantae; Streptophyta; Magnoliopsida; Malpighiales; Euphorbiaceae. The record is from RNAcentral.